RNAcentral lists this ribosomal RNA (255 nucleotides) under uncultured bacterium. RNAcentral describes it as "partial 16S ribosomal RNA". It matches the Rfam family "Bacterial small subunit ribosomal RNA", at positions 524 to 776 of the family's 1533-position model. The record is from RNAcentral.
UACAGGGGGUGCAAACGUUGCUCGGAAUUAUUGGGCGUAAAGAGCUCGUAGGCGGUUUGUCGCGUCUGCUGUGAAAACUCAGGGCUUAACCCUGAGCCUGCAGUGGGUACGGGCAGACUAGAGUGUGGUAGGGGAGAUCGGAAUUCCUGGUGUAGCGGUGGAAUGCGCAGGAUAUCAGGAGGAACACCGGUGGCGAAGGCGGAUCUCUGGGCCAUAACUGACGCUGGAGGAGCGAAGGCAUGGGGAGCGAACAGG